GGAUUAUUAGAUCUCACCGCCCAUCCACGGGGCUUUCAAUAACUAGUCAACAUGAAUUCAAUUCAUGUAACACUGAUCUCGGCCCUUUUGGCACUCAGCACCGUGUACAAAGGCAUGUCGACGCCGAUGCCAAUGCCGAUGCCAAUGCCAAUGCAAAUGCCGAUGCCAAUGAGGAUGACCGAUGCUAUGUAUAUGCU
This is a long non-coding RNA of Mercenaria mercenaria, 197 nucleotides long. RefSeq lists it as uncharacterized. Lineage: Eukaryota; Metazoa; Mollusca; Bivalvia; Venerida; Veneridae. The record is from RefSeq and is a predicted model, not a curated record. The transcript has 3 exons.